RNAcentral lists this unclassified non-coding RNA (230 nucleotides) under plant metagenome. RNAcentral's name for it is "partial contains small subunit ribosomal RNA, internal transcribed spacer 1, and 5.8S ribosomal RNA". The record is from RNAcentral.
UCUCCGUAGGUGAACCUGCGGAGGGAUCAUUACAGAGUUCUCGCCCUCACGGGUAGAUCUCCCACCCACUGUUAUCGUUACUGUCGUUUCUUUGGCGGGCCGCCGGGUCCCCGGCCGCCGGCGCCUAGCUGCCGGCGCGCGCCCGCCAGAGGCCUUCAAACUCUGAAUGUUAGUGUCGUCUGAGUACUAUAUAAUAGUUAAAACUUCCAACAACGGAUCUCUUGGUUCUG